Non-coding RNA from Meleagris gallopavo (turkey), 1582 nucleotides. The record is from RefSeq and is a predicted model, not a curated record. Lineage: Eukaryota; Metazoa; Chordata; Aves; Galliformes; Phasianidae.
UUUAAGGGUUGACAGUGGAGAAAAGGAUUUUUUGCUGGAGAACUUUGUGUAUGUGAGACUUUCUUACGGAUGUGGCAUGUGGCACUGCUCGCCUCAUGACAGCUGUUCAACAGGAGGGCUCAUCAUCCCAAAGGCAGAGGGUCCACAUCUGCUGACAAGCAAGGUGUAUACUGUCCUUAUGCAGAGAGAAAGCAUGCCUAUCAGGAAAGUACAGGAAGGAAGGUAAGGAGAGAGACUGUGGAGGAAAGAGCCAUACAUCUUUCAUGAGGACUUUUCCCUCUGAAGAACAUAGGCAUUAUGAUAAUGAAGCUCCUAUACAAACGGACUGAUAAUACACGAUUUUUUGUAUUGAUCACUGAAAUCAGAAGAAAAUAGCCAGCACACUAUGUGGCAUAUAUGUUCAAAACCCCAAGAAAAUCACAGUAGAUAAAUGUAUUAUGGAGAUGGAAAUGAUUAAAAUUGUACAUUGUCAGAUAAUACCAUGGGGAAAAAAGUGCUAAUGUACUUCUCAUUCAGACACAUAGUAUACUGCUGUUGGCAAUGCCAACGAGUAAUGCUGGAGUCGUUACAAAAAUCCUCCCUGUACCUACUCAUCUCUUGCUGGUAUCUGUAAUUAGUUGCAUGCUGAGACAAGUCAGAGACUUCUGCCAUAUCUCUGUGAAAGCCUCAAAGUCACAGCUCUAUGUAUUAUUAAUACAAAUGAACAGGCUUCAGUAAAACAUGAAAAUAACUCCAUCUGGAUCCUCUUAAUAUAAUGCAUUGUUUGAGCUCUGGAUUUUGCGGUGAUAUUUUUGGAGUAUAAUGCCAUCUAAAUCCUUGAACAAAAUUGUUUUCCUAUAUCACAUCCACUAUUCUAUAUAACAGAUAAAUAGCUGUCAUUCUGAUGAAUGUCCUCAGGGCAUUCAACAUAAUAGGAUGUUAAAGUAUAGCCAAAGCUACUUGGCAUCAGCCAAAACUCAUUAUUGGAGAUCAGCAUCCCAAUCAACAUUUAAUGAAUUAUGAUCAAUUUAAAGUGACUGUUUAUCAUCCUAUGUGGACAAAAUAGUAAAGUGGACCUAAGGCCAGUCAUUGCCCAAGUCUUUCUUUGAUUGAAGUUGCUUUUUGGCUAUUAACAAUUCAACAUAGCACUCAAAAUAUAGCCAAUUGUUGUAAUUACUCUGACCCCAACUGAAAGCGUUAUUCUGAAAUAUGGGAAAGAUAGUGAAGUGCAAAAUAUAAGACUUUGUUUUGCUAACAUUAAACAUGUUCAUAUGACAGAAAUAAUUUAAACUCGAGAGAAAACAAGAUUAGUACCCCAACUUAAGAUAAAUAAUUUAUAUGAAAUCACUUUUUAUUGACUUUGAGGGAUUUCUCCUGUAUCCUUCCUUUCACAUUCAUGCCUUCUUUGGUUAUUCCUGCAACAUCAAAAUUCUGUUUGAUUUUAUAACCCUAGCAUGCUUUUUUUCAUAGUAGAUAGGUAACAUUUUCUUAUUGCUGUACAUAGAACAUCUUUGAAUAGUUUUUAAUAAAAAUGUUGGGUAUCUUCUUUGCACUAGUCUCUUGAAACGCUCAAGUACUAACAUUUGGAAUAAAUGCUUGCAAA